AAAAGUGAAAGACGGUCUUGCUGUCACUUAUAGAUGGAUCCGCGCUGCAUUAGCUAGUUGGUAAGGUAACGGCUUACCAAGGCAACGAUGCAUAGCCGACCUGAGAGGGUGAUCGGCCACACUGGAACUGAGACACGGUCCAGACUCCUACGGGAGGCAGCAGUAGGGAAUCUUCCGCAAUGGGCGAAAGCCUGACGGAGCAACGCCGCGUGAGUGAUGAAGGUCUUCGGAUCGUAAAACUCUGUUAUUAGGGAAG
Molecule: ribosomal RNA, 256 nt
Filed under: Staphylococcus aureus
Lineage: Bacteria; Bacillati; Bacillota; Bacilli; Caryophanales; Staphylococcaceae
Description: partial 16S ribosomal RNA
Rfam family: Bacterial small subunit ribosomal RNA
Source: RNAcentral